RNAcentral lists this long non-coding RNA (294 nucleotides) under Prunus persica (peach). RNAcentral describes it as "long non-coding RNA (PPER_LNC001291)". Lineage: Eukaryota; Viridiplantae; Streptophyta; Magnoliopsida; Rosales; Rosaceae. The record is from RNAcentral.
UAGAGAUGCACAACCAAUUAUGAUUAGACAUAUAUAUGUUGGGCACUAUGUUUCAGGUAAUAAGUUCGAGUCUUAGCAUUCGUGUAGUGUAUGUGAGUUUAAUGAAAAAAUAAAAAAGAAAAAUGGUAAAAAAAAAACUUUUGAUUGAUGAGCGGAUCAUGAGAAGCCAAGGCAACAUUGUCUGGACAACUGAACCGCCAUAUAUGUUUAGUUUAUGUCCAAAAUUGGAAUUGCAUUGUUUGCUUUGCCCAGACUAUCGACUGAUGCCUUUUUGGGUUGUAUUUUGCGGUCCCG